CUUAUUUAUGUUAUUUUUUCUUGUCAUACGAAAAUUGAUUCCUGAGUGAAAUAAUAUAGGUACUCUACAAUGUUAGCGGAAAAUUUAGGUGACUCGUACAAACCUCUGCAACAGUAUUCAUUCAGGGUCAAAUGAGUAGUCGCUUAAAUGAAGAAGGGGAAGGGGGCAACUGUGAGUUUGCAGAAGUCGACGGUGGUAAGUAAACUACUUCAGUUUGAUUUUAUUAUCAUGGAGCUUGAAAAGACAUUUAUACAUUCUCAUCAAGAUCAUGCAAUAUACAUGUUACAGGACGUCAGUCAGAUCUUCCAGACAUUGAUGAAGAUUAUGGCGUAAAAUCUGAUGAUGAGACCG
RNAcentral lists this long non-coding RNA (351 nucleotides) under Carica papaya (papaya). RNAcentral describes it as "long non-coding RNA (CPAP_LNC014120)". The record is from RNAcentral. Lineage: Eukaryota; Viridiplantae; Streptophyta; Magnoliopsida; Brassicales; Caricaceae.